GCGUCCUUAGCUCAGCUGGAUAGAGCAUCGGCCUUCUAAGCCGGGUGUCGCAGGUUCGAAUCCUGCAGGGCGCACCA
Molecule: transfer RNA, 77 nt
Filed under: Holosporales bacterium
Lineage: Bacteria; Pseudomonadati; Pseudomonadota; Alphaproteobacteria; Holosporales
Description: tRNA-Arg
Rfam family: tRNA
About the family: Transfer RNA (tRNA) molecules are approximately 80 nucleotides in length. Their secondary structure includes four short double-helical elements and three loops (D, anti-codon, and T loops).
Source: RNAcentral